This 495-nucleotide ribosomal RNA is filed under the name uncultured bacterium. Its description in RNAcentral is "partial 16S ribosomal RNA". It matches the Rfam family "Bacterial small subunit ribosomal RNA", at positions 28 to 507 of the family's 1533-position model. The record is from RNAcentral.
GACGAACGCUGGCGGCGUGCCUAAUACAUGCAAGUAGAACGCUGAAGGAGGAGCUUGCUUCUCUGGAUGAGUUGCGAACGGGUGAGUAACGCGUAGGUAACCUGCCUGGUAGCGGGGGAUAACUAUUGGAAACGAUAGCUAAUACCGCAUAAGAGUAGAUGUUGCAUGACAUUUGCUUAAAAGGUGCAAUUGCAUCACUACCAGAUGGACCUGCGUUGUAUUAGCUAGUUGGUGAGGUAACGGCUCACCAAGGCGACGAUACAUAGCCGACCUGAGAGGGUGAUCGGCCACACUGGGACUGAGACACGGCCCAGACUCCUACGGGAGGCAGCAGUAGGGAAUCUUCGGCAAUGGACGGAAGUCUGACCGAGCAACGCCGCGUGAGUGAAGAAGGGUUUCGGAUCGUAAAGCUCUGUUGUAAGAGAAGAAAGAGUGUGAGAGUGGAAAGUUCACACUGUGACGAUAUCUUACCAGAAAGGGACGGCUAACUACGUG